This 450-nucleotide ribosomal RNA is filed under the name uncultured bacterium. RNAcentral's name for it is "partial 16S ribosomal RNA". It matches the Rfam family "Bacterial small subunit ribosomal RNA", at positions 338 to 795 of the family's 1533-position model. The record is from RNAcentral.
CCUACGGGGGGCUGCAGUAAGGAAUAUUGGUCAAUGGACGAAAGUCUGAACCAGCCAUCCCGCGUGCAGGAUGAAAGCCCUAUGGGUUGUAAACUGCUUUUAGCAGAGAAGAAAAGCUUUCAUUAAUGAGAGUCUGACGGUAUCUGCAGAAUAAGCACCGGCUAACUCCGUGCCAGCAGCCGCGGUAAUACGGAGGGUGCGAGCGUUAUCCGGAAUUACGGGGUUUUAAGGGUGCUUAGACGUCAGAGUUGAAAUCUUGUCGAUUAACGAGAAAAUUGCCAAUGAUACUGGUACUCUUGAAGUGGGUUGAGGUUAGCGGAAUGUGACAUGUAGCGGUGAAAUGCAUAGAUAUGUCAUGGAACACCAAUUGCGAAGGCAGCUAACUGGGCCUUGAUUGACGCUGAGGCACGAAAGCGUGGGUAGCGAACAGGAUUAGAUACCCUUGUAGUC